ACGCACGCUGGCGGCGUGCUUCACACAUGCCAGUCGCACGGAAAGGCCUCUUUCGGGGGGUACUCGAGUGGCGAACGGGUGAGUAACACGUGAGUAACCUGCCCUUGACUUUGGGAUAACUUCAGGAAACUGGGGCUAAUACCGGAUAGGAGCUCCUGCUGCAUGGUGGGGGUUGGAAAGUUUCGGCGGUUGGGGAUGGACUCGCGGCUUAUCAGCUUGUUGGUGGGGUAGUGGCUUACCAAGGCUUUGACGGGUAGCCGGCCUGAGAGGGUGACCGGCCACAUUGGGACUGAGAUACGGCCCAGACUCCUACGGGAGGCAGCAGUGGGGAAUAUUGCACAAUGGGUGGAAGCCUGAUGCAGCAACGCCGUGUGCGGGAUGACGGCCUUCGGGUUGUAAACCGCUUUCGCUCAUGACGAAGCUUUGUGUGACGGUAGUGGGUAAAGAAGCACCGGCUAACUACGUG
Molecule: ribosomal RNA, 466 nt
Filed under: uncultured bacterium
Lineage: Bacteria
Description: partial 16S ribosomal RNA
Rfam family: Bacterial small subunit ribosomal RNA
Source: RNAcentral